This 72-nucleotide transfer RNA is filed under the name Scleropages formosus (Asian bonytongue). RNAcentral describes it as "tRNA-Val". The record is from RNAcentral. Lineage: Eukaryota; Metazoa; Chordata; Actinopteri; Osteoglossiformes; Osteoglossidae.
GUCUGGGUGGCACAGCGGGUAGUGCUGUUGUCUCACGUGCAAGAGGCUAUGGGUUUGAUCCCCGCUCAGUCU